RNAcentral lists this unclassified non-coding RNA (216 nucleotides) under air metagenome. RNAcentral's name for it is "partial contains small subunit ribosomal RNA, internal transcribed spacer 1, and 5.8S ribosomal RNA". The stretch from base 1 to 46 matches the Rfam family "Eukaryotic small subunit ribosomal RNA", at positions 1786 to 1831 of the family's 1831-position model. The record is from RNAcentral.
AAGUCGUAACAAGGUCUCCGUAGGUGAACCUGCGGAGGGAUCAUUACUGAGUGAGGGCUCACGCCCGACCUCCAACCCUUUGUGAACACAUCUCGUUGCUUCGGGGGCGACCCGGCCGGUGCCGGGCGCCCCCGGAGGUCUUCUCAACACUGCAUUUUUGCGUCCGAGUCUGAUACAAAUCAAACAAAACUUUCAACAACGGAUCUCUUGGUUCUG